RNAcentral lists this non-coding RNA (62 nucleotides) under Rhodococcus rhodnii. RNAcentral also lists the same sequence under 1 other name. The record is from RNAcentral. Lineage: Bacteria; Bacillati; Actinomycetota; Actinomycetes; Mycobacteriales; Nocardiaceae.
GCGGAGCUCAUACGGCCCCCGGACGAGCGCACCGUACCCGGCCAGCGACAAGACGGUGCCCU